AAGCCGUAAAUUCGCGACUGCGAUUGGUUCAUACCCAUGAUUAAAAAGGGAAACAGGUGAGAUUCCUGUACAGUCCCGCUGCUGUAAACUGUCCAACGAGGCAAGCAUUUGGCCACUGACACUUUAUUCGGGAAGGCCGUUUGCCGAUUUAUCCACCCCACGCAUACGGGGAAAGAGACAGUGAAGUCAGAAGACCUGCCGUCGCGCGCUUGUUGUC
RNAcentral lists this non-coding RNA (217 nucleotides) under Prevotella sp. The record is from RNAcentral. Lineage: Bacteria; Pseudomonadati; Bacteroidota; Bacteroidia; Bacteroidales; Prevotellaceae.